GCUCAAUCAAUGAUCUAUGCACUUCACGGUCGUUCGCUCAAAUGGAAGAUUCUAUGCACCGGUAAAUGACUCGUUCCCUCUGGGCGGAGCACCAGGAUGGAAACAAUUGGCGAUGGAUGAUGUUUUGUUCAGCUCUGUUUAUGCAAAGCCUCUUCAGAAUUCAAAUUCUCUUGACGAUACGAUGAUAAACAGAAUAUCUGCAAGUUCAACUGGGUACCAGUUUGCAUUAAAAUCCCACAUUUUAUCAUUAUGCAACAUGGGAAGGUUACCAGAAGCUCUGAAACUAAGUUUCUCUGCUCCAUUUGCCUUGGACUACUCGGUGUAUUUGAAAACUUUGCAGCUCUGUAUCGAUGCCAAGGUCGAGAGAGGAGGUCUUUUGAUUCAUAAGCAUCUUAUCACUAGUGGGUUUGAUUCAAAUUUACAUUUGAACACCAAAUUGGUGAUAUUUUAUGCCAAACUGCGGGACAUGAUGGCUGCUCAUAAGGUGUUCGAUGGAAUGACUGAGGGAAGCGUUGUGUCUUGGACUGCUUUGGUUUCUGGGUAUUCUCAGAAUGGGUACUUUCAAGAAGCUUUGAUGGUAUUCGUGGCAAUGCGUCGGGCUGGUUUGAAGGCUAAUCAGUUUACUUAUGGGAGUGUAUUGAGGGCAUGUUCAAGCAUGAGGUGUUUGGAUGGAGGGAAGCAAAUACAAGGGUGUAUUCAGAAAGGCAGGUUUGUCGAUAAUUUGUUUGUGCAGAGUGCAUUGGUUGAUUUGCAUUCAAAAUGCGGAAUUAUGCGGGAUGCCUGUUACAUCUUUGAGAUGAUGUCAAAAAGGGACGUGGUUUCUUGGAACACACUGAUUGGUGGGUAUGCUGUUCAGGGUUUUACUGGCGACUCAUUUCAAAUGUUUCGUGCAAUGCUAAGAGAAGGUAGCAACCCAGAUUGCUUCACCUUCGGAAGUAUUUUGAGAGCUUUAUCUAGUGGUAAUGACCUCAUGAAGAUAAGCCAAAUACAUGGAUUCAUCAUACAUCUUGGUUUUGGAUCACAUCGUGAUUUGAUGGGAUUGCUCAUCGACACUUAUGCAAAAUGUGGGAGCAUUAGAAUUGCUGAUGAUCUGUAUAAGAAUAUGCCUGAAAAGGAUUUAAUUUCGUGCACUGCAUUAAUCAGUGGAUACGCACGUGAAGGAAACUGCAGCAGAGAUGUUCUUAAUCUCUUCAAAGAAAUACGUCAAUUGUAUCUAGUAAUGGAUGAUGUUCUGUUAUGUUCUAUGCUUAACGUAUGUGCCAAUGGAGCUUUACUAAGCUUGGGAAGACAAAUUCAUGCUCUUGCAUUAAAAUAUCUACCAAGAUAUGAUGUGGCCAUGGGCAAUGCCCUUAUUGAUAUGUAUGCGAAAUCUGGAGAAAUUGAAGAUGCUAACCAUGCAUUUGAUGAGAUGGAGGAGAAAAAUGUGAUUUCAUGGACUUCAUUGAUUGCUGGAUUGGGGAAGCAUGGUUAUGGACAAAAGGCAAUAAUGUUAUAUAAGAAUAUGGAAUGUCAUGGAUUGAAGCCAAAUGACGUUACAUUCUUGUCUCUUCUGUUUGCCUGUAGUCAUGCUGGAUUGACUGGUGAAGGGUGGGAUUUCUUCAAUGCUAUGGUUUGCAAAUACAAUAUACUUCCCAGAGUUGAACAUUAUUCUUGUAUGAUAGAUCUCUUUGCACGUGGAGGUCAGUUAGAAGAAGCAUAUAAUAUAAUAUGCAACAUGAAAAUAAAGCCAAAUACCUCAGUGUGGGGUGCAUUUCUUGGGGCAUGCACUACCUAUGGCAAUAUGUCUCUUGGAGAAAUAGCAGCCAAGCAACUUUUUAGUAUUAAUCCUGAGAAUUCAGUUAGCUAUGUUGCUUUAGCAAGCAUAUAUGCUAAUGCUGGCUUGUGGGGCAAUGCUUGGAAUAUGCGACAAUUAAUGGAAAAUAGAAGUUUGAAGAAAGAUCCAGGGUACAGCUUAUUGCAGUCCACGAGGAAGAGUAUAGAAUUUCUGCAUGCAAGUUGAGAGUACAGAACCUAAUUUUCAUACUGGAGUAAGCUUUAGAUUUAUGCAAACUUGUGCCAGAUGUAUGGAUCUUAUGUUGCUGCAUCAAAUGGGGAUAUGCAUUACACAUCAAGUACUCACAUUCUCAUACUUCAGAGCUUAUCAUAAAGUUAAUAAAGGCAAAGUGGAUUUCGAAUGAUAAAAAGGACAAUUCCGAAAGCUCGUGUCAAAAUUCAGAUCAAAUGAAACUUAGACCUCAAAUGACAUAUCUUGAAAGCUCACAAGGAUCAAGGAACAUGGAAGGCCCUAUAUCAAAUAAAUGAUCCAUAAUGAAAGCUCAAAGAAGUUUGAAAGAUCAAAGACCAGCGACAAAGAAAACUCAAAGCAAAGAAGAGUUAAAUCAGUUUUUAGAACAAGUUUUGUAAGUACUUUAAGUAUGAUUCAAGUAUGACUUUUCACUUUGAAGCUCAUUAGGCAAAUGAGACUUAGAGACCUUAGUUUUAAGUCUUGGAACUUAUUUUUCAAAGAAAAACUAAUUGAUAUUUCAAGAUUGAAUAAGCAAAGAAGAGAGAGAACAAAAAUAUUUUAAAACAAGAAACAAUUGGUUGAUAGGCGACUGACUGCACAUGGAUAGUCAACUGCCAUGUUAAAGGUUUUAAAAUAAGCAGAUAGAAGUAUGACAGUCAACUAUCUAGAGCUUGACAGGUGACUGUCAGUGUAAAUUGAGACAACUGCUUGUGUUUUGCCAGUCGUCUGUCACCCUUCUGGUCAUUUAAAAAAUCUAGUUGUUCAGUGAUAGGCGCCUGACUCCUUGUUGACAGGCGACUGCCACCUUACUGCUUGUGCAUUCUAUACGUGAAAUACACUAACAGCCGACUGCCAGAGUCCUCAUAGUCAAUUGUCACGCGGUAAAAUUUAAAAAACAUAGCAGACAUAUUUUGAAAUAUUCAAUUGCUUGGGGCUCAAACUUAUUUAAAUCUUGGACCCUACUCCAAGUAAACUUGGGGAACAAGUUAGAUUCUUUUCUACAUCUAUUAAUACACCCAAGUUUAAUUGAUUCAACACACAAGAAUUCAAUUCAGCAUUCAAAAUCUCUUUCAAGUGUUCUGAAAUUCUCAAAGCUCUCUUUUGCUGUAAAUUGGCACGAAGUUUACUGAAGUCUUGCUAAUUCUCUCACUGAUAUUGUGCUACAACUAUUAAUUCUUUCAUUCAUUGAAAGAAUCAUAUGGUGAAAUACUUCUAGAGCUUCAAUCUGAAUUUCAUAUUGUGAAUUACAUGGAAGUAUAUAGUUUUGAACUGUACUAAUCAGCUCUUUGAGGAGCAAUUCUUUGUACAUCUAUUUGAUUUGUAUCUUAUAGAUUGACGAUUCCAAGGAUUGUUUGGAUUGUUGGCUAAGCAAAGGGUUAUCGCUUAGAGAGGCAGACUCUAGCCUAUUUGAAGGAGUGACCGAACGAGGGUACAUCAUUUGGAGAGGCGGGCUCUAGCCUACUGAAGGAGUGUGUAAUCAGUGUUGUUCCGCCUGGUAAAGGAACUGAUUUUAGCGAA
RNA transcript from Malania oleifera, 3523 nucleotides. It is a transcript of the gene named pentatricopeptide repeat-containing protein At3g20730-like, with no coding region annotated. The transcript has 3 exons. The record is from RefSeq and is a predicted model, not a curated record. NCBI's taxonomy places the organism in Eukaryota, Viridiplantae, Streptophyta, Magnoliopsida, Santalales, Ximeniaceae.